CCUUGUCAUCAGUCUUCCCUUGGUCUAGGAGCAUCUCCCCACAGGAAACUCACGUCCAAAGAAUGCAUUCUACUCCCUGUGCUGCUUUUUUUGGUGGUGUGGAAGCCCCAUGUCUUUCUGCUCGCUUCUCUCUCUUACAUCUCAAAAGAGAUUAGCUUAAGACACUAUCUAAUCUUGUAGAUCUCAUUAAUAUAACUGUCACUAAUCCAUCUCAUUACAUCUUAGUGAUAGAAUUUACAACCCAGGGAAAUCACAUCAGAUGACAAAAUGGUAGACCAUCAUUACAAUACUGAGAAUUACGAUCUAGCCAAGUUGACAGAUAUUUUUGGGGGAUACAAUUCAAUCCAUGACAGACCUGAUGUCUUAGGAGCACUGGGCUGGAAGGGCAGGUUGUAAAUUUGCAGAAGUUGUUCUAUUGGUGUGAUGCUGGUCAUGGACUAACCACAAACCAAGCAGAGGACCCAACAAGCCCGAACUUCCCUGAGCCUGGAAUGACCAGGAGUGGGGGAUUAUUCCUGCCCUGGGGCAUGUGGUGGGUGUCUCCUCCCCCUACCCAACCUUAGAACGUGAACUGCUUUACUUGGACCCACAAGCAAGUCCUUCCCUCCAUCAACAGAUGAAUAGAUAAACCAAAUGUGGCAUAUACAUACAAUGGAGUAUUGAGAGAAACGAAGUCCUGAUAUAUACUACGACACGGAUGAACCUUGAAAACAUUAUGCUAACUGAAAUGCGUCAGACACAAAAGGACAAAUCUUGUAUGAUACCACUUAUAUGAAAUAUCUAGAAUAGACAAAUGUCUAUCUGUCUAGAACAGGCAGAAAGUAGAUUAGUGGUUACCAGGGGUUGGGGAGGGUGCGGAAAGCCUACUGUUUAAGGGGCCCUGAGUGUCUGUUUGGGGUAAUGAAAAAGUUUUGAAAAUAGAUAGUGGUGGUGACUGUAAAACAUUGAGACUAUAAUUAAUGUCCCUGAAUUGUACACUUACAAAUGGUUAAAAUGGCAACUUUUAUGAUAUAUAUAUAUAUAUAUAUAUAUUUUUUUUUUUUUUUACUACACACACACACAAAUCUUUCCCUUCACGUGUGUCGUGGAGCAAGGAAAGUUGAGGGAGAGAGAAAAAGGAGAGAGAGGCAAAGCUUUUACCAUUCUAACCAUUUUAAGUGUAUAUAAUUCAGUGACAUCUGAGAAUUGUUUAGUCAAAUGAAAGAGGCAACAGAAAUUCCCAGGGCUGGGAAACUGAAGUCACUCAGAAAAGAGAGAGGUGGAGUAACACAGAGGUCCAGAGAGCCAAGGCUGAGGAAGGGAAAGUGAUUUGGUCAAAGUCCUUGUCAGCACGUGUCCACUUCGUGAGGAAAGGGGAGGCUGAAGCAGGGUGCGGAGAAAGGAGGAAGAUUUGAGUGAGAAGUGGGUGUGAGGGGGCGGGCCCUGAGCACUGGAGCCCAGCCUGUUGCUCCUGAGGAGAAUCACCCCGUCACCUUUUGAGCCAGAGCAGAGACAGAGGCCUUACGAAGCGCUGGUCCUACUUGGUUUUUGAAGUGGGUCUGGGCUAGACUCGAGAACCAGGCUGCCUCAGUUCUAGUCCUGGAGCAACACUGGGAUGUGAUCUCAUCAACAUAACUGCCGCUAAUCCAUCCCAUUAACAUCAUAGUGUUAGGAUUUGCAACGCACAGGAAAAUCACUUCGGAUGACAACAUGAUGGACCAUCACGCAAUACUGGGAAUCACGGCCUAGCCAAAUUGAUACACAUAUUUUUGGGGGACACAAUUCAAUCCAUGACAAACACUAACUAGAGUUAACCAUCAUAACCAGUGUUCCUCUCACCUUGCACCUCUGCGUGAUUGUUACUGCCAAACACAUGCCGUUAAUGUGAGAAACAGUCAGAACCAUUGAUGGAUGCUAUACUAGAAAAGAUCCUGGGCAUCUAUGACACGGAACAGCUUCUAUUUUUGAUUCCAUUUUACAAAUGAACUCACUGAGGUAAAACUCCGUUGGCUUCAAGUCGACUCCUACUCUCAGCAACCUUAUACGAUGGAGUAGAACUACCCCACAGGUCACCAAGGCCAUCAUCUUCACGGGAACGGGCCUUAUACGAUGGAGCAGAACUACCCCACAGGUCACGAAGGCCAUCAUCUUCACGGGAACGGGCCUUAUACGAUGGAGUAGAACUACCCCACAGGUCACCAAGGCUAUAAUCUUCACGGGAACGGGCCUUAUACGAUGGAGUAGAACUACCCCACAGGGUUACCAAGGCUAUCAUCUUCACGGAAACAGGAUGCCCCAUCUUUCUCCCGUGGAGUAGUUGGUGGGUUCAAACUGCCGACCUUUUGGUUACCACUGUGCCACCAGGGCUCCUUUUCACUGAAGGUAAAUGGCUGUUAAAUGAUGGUUAAAUGGCUAUUCAGUGUCCUGUGGUUGCUAAGUGGUAGAGCAGAGGUUAGUCCCUGGGUGGCGCAAAUGUUUAAGUGCUAAACUACUAACUAAAAGGUUGGCGGUUCACACUCACCCAGAGGCACCUUGGAAGGCAGGCCUGGUGAUCUGCUUCCAAGAGGUCACAACCUUGAAAACCCUAGGGAGCAGUUCUACUCUGCACACAUGAAGUUUCCAGGAGUCGGAACUGACUCGAAUGCAACUAACAACAAGAGCAGGGUUGGCCCCAGGCAGUCUUGAGUCCAGGGCCCAGGUACUUCACCAUGACUCUGUGCUGUCCUAGGUAACAGGCUCCCUUACACCCCAGAUGCUACAGAGGAGAUGUGGCCUCUGGGAGGGGGGCAGAAACUGGGAGUCUGGAAGCUGAGGCCAAGCCCCUCGCCCUCUGAGCCUGAGUUUUUUUCAUCUGAAAGCAAGAAGGUCAGACUGAGUGACCUGAGGGUACAUCUGCUCAGACACCCCAGGACGUUUUGAGAUGAGAACAGCCCUCUCGCCUUUGCAGCUGGACAGGGCUGCCUCGAAGUCCUUUGAGGAGACAAUGUCAGUCAUUGCACAGCCGGGCUAAAAAGUCACAAGCAAGAGUGAAUCUUUUAUCACGUAUAUGACACCAAACAGUCAACACUUACCCUAAAGCAAAGAUGAGAAUGUAAGGGGCAGGGAAACUAGAUUAACAGAAACGCAACAAACAGAAUGGAAAUAAUGAGAAUGUUCAUGCUUUGUGAAGAAUAUAACCAAUGUCACUGGACAAUUUGUGUAGCAAUUGUUGAAUGGGAACCUAAACUGCUGUGUAAACUUUCACUGAAAACACAAUAAAAUACUAUUAAAAAAAGAAAAAUGAGGAACCAUUGAGUUUCUGUUUAUGGUGAUGGAAAAUUUGGCAACUGAUAUCGGUGAUGGUUGCCCAACAUGAUUGAUGUAACUGGUGUUGCUGAAUUGUACAUGUGGAAAAUGUUGAAUUGGCAAAUGUUGUGUUACACAUAUUUUUACAACAAUGACAACGACAAAACAGUGAGUCUCUUGGCCUGGAGCCCCCCAGUUUGUCUUUGCUAACACCUGACACUGAAACCACAGGGGAGAGUUUGGGAUCUGGUGAAGAGGGAAGAAUCCUCAGGAACAGGCAGGGAAGGAGGGGAGGAAACGACCCUCUGGGCCGGGCCACACAAAGUCUGGGGACAGGAAAUGCACCCUUGGUCACUGUCCCAGCUGCUGGCUUUGUUGACUUGUGCAUCCCCACCCCCGGCAGAACCCUAUAGACAGUGAGCGCAGCCCAGCUUCAGGUCUGGAAUCUGUCACUCCUGGUUGGCAAAUACGCUCUUGGUUUCAUCGAGGAGAGUGGAUCGCUGGCCCUCAUCACCACCGUGCAGAGCAAACACCUUCAAAUGGGGGUGAAGUUCAUGGGGCAGAGGAUGGUACAGAAAAGUAUCCUGCCUUGUCAUUACGACUCUUUGCAAAUGAAGCAAGAGAUAGCCACAUCGAGAAGGGGACUCUACCUGGGAUUGGGAGUCCCCCAGGUAGCAAAUCUCAGCAUCAAUGUGGCCUUUCUGGGGAACUCAAAAGAAAAUAUCUAGUUAAAAGGUCAGGGAAAUAGCCAAAAGGUAGAAGCAGCCUAAAUGUCUAUGGAUAAACAAAAUAUGGUCCAUCCACACAAUGGAGUAUUAUUUAGCCGCAAAGAGAAAUGAAGUCCUGAUACAUGCUACCUAUGGCACGGAUGAACCUUGGAGACAGGCUGAAUGAAAACAAAGCCGUGACGAAAGCCCAAAUAUUGUGUGAUCCUACUUACAUGAAAUAGGCAAAGGCGUAGAGACCAAAGUUCUCCACAGUAAAGUAGUUACAAGGAAGGGGGACUCUCAGCUCAGGGGGCGCUGAGUUUCUGUUAACGGUGGUGGUGGAAUAAUUGGGAAAUGGACCAUGGAGAUGGCUGCACAAUGUGAUGAACAAAUCAAUGCCACCGGAACGUGCAAAAUAUGUACAGUAUGUUAAAUUGGCAAAUGUUUUGUUAUGCACAUUUUUAUCACAAUAAAACAUAGAAGAAAAAAAAAAGUCAGAGAACUUCCAAAUCCCUUCGUGCUUGACCAGGGCAACUCCUUUUUCUCCUUUUUUCUACCAGGAACUAACACAUAUCUCUGGGAGGCAGAGAGAGGCCACUAGGAGUCGGUAAAAAUGGGCAACAGGGUUAAAGGGGGGUGAUCCUUGCUUGAUGGAGGUUGUGUGCUCCUGGGGAGCCUUGUUCCCACUUUGCCUCUGCUUCAUAAAAGCCUCAUCAACCAGGUUUCAAAUUUUACAUGGAAAAGGUACUCCGUGUAACACAUGCAUUACUUGUGAAAUUAUUAUUAUUAUUUCAUUUCAUUGUGUGCUUGUUUCGGGGUUUUUUUGUUUGUUUUUGAAACCAUCACCACUAUCUAUUUCCAAAAGUUUCUCAUUACCCCAAAGAGUAAUUCUGUACCCCUUCAGCAAUAACUCCCCAUUCCCCCUUGUCCCAGUCCCUGGUAACCUCUAAUCUACUUUCUGCUUCUAUGCAUUCAUCUAUUCUAGCUAUUUCCUAUAAGCGAGAUCUUACAGUACUGAUCCUUUUGUGUCUGGCUUAUUUCACUCAGCUUAAUGUUUUCAAGGUUCAUCCAUAUUGUAGCUUGAAUCAGGCUCCAUUCCUUUCUAAGGCAGAAUAAUAUUCCAUUGUAAGUGUAAGUCAAAUUUAAUUUUUCAAAGGCCACUUGCUUGGAAACCACCAUGAUUUUUCUUCCACAGUCCUUAGAAACUUACCUUGCAUUCUCAAAUUAAGCCUUUCCUUCCACA
Long non-coding RNA from Loxodonta africana (African savanna elephant), 5214 nucleotides. RefSeq lists it as uncharacterized. The record is from RefSeq and is a predicted model, not a curated record. Lineage: Eukaryota; Metazoa; Chordata; Mammalia; Proboscidea; Elephantidae. The transcript is spliced from 4 exons.